RNAcentral lists this transfer RNA (68 nucleotides) under Hyosciurus ileile (lowland long-nosed squirrel). RNAcentral's name for it is "tRNA-Thr". Lineage: Eukaryota; Metazoa; Chordata; Mammalia; Rodentia; Sciuridae. The record is from RNAcentral.
GCCCUAAUAGUAUAAUCAUUACCUUGGUCUUGUAAACCAAAAAUGAAGGCUUACCACCUCCUUAGGGC